Molecule: ribosomal RNA, 380 nt
Filed under: uncultured bacterium
Lineage: Bacteria
Description: bacterial SSU rRNA
Rfam family: Bacterial small subunit ribosomal RNA
Source: RNAcentral
ACUCCUACGGGAGGCAGCAGUGGGGAAUAUUGCACAAUGGGGGAAACCCUGAUGCAGCCAUGCCGCGUGUGUGAAGAAGGCCUUCGGGUUGUAAAGCACUUUCAGUAGGGAGGAAGGUAGUGUAGUUAACACCUGCAUUAUUUGUACGUUACCUACAGAAGAAGCACCGGCUAACUCCGUGCCAGCAGCCGCGGUAAUACGGAGGGUGCGAGCGUUAAUCGGAAUUACUGGGCGUAAAGCGCAUGCAGGCGGCCUGUUAAGUCAGAUGUGAAAGCCCGGGGCUUAACCUCGGAAUUGCAUUUGAAACUGGCAGGCUAGAGUCUUGUAGAGGGGUUAGAAUUUCAGGUGUAGCGGUGAAAUGCGUAGAGAUCUGAAGGAAU